This 71-nucleotide transfer RNA is filed under the name Parascardovia denticolens IPLA 20019. RNAcentral's name for it is "tRNA-Thr". It matches the Rfam family "tRNA". From Rfam's summary of the family: Transfer RNA (tRNA) molecules are approximately 80 nucleotides in length. Their secondary structure includes four short double-helical elements and three loops (D, anti-codon, and T loops). The record is from RNAcentral. Lineage: Bacteria; Bacillati; Actinomycetota; Actinomycetes; Bifidobacteriales; Bifidobacteriaceae.
GCCUUUAUAGCUCAAUGGCAGAGCGACGCUCUCGUAAAGCGGAGACCAUGGUCCGAUUCCGUGUAAAGGCU